Molecule: small nuclear RNA, 162 nt
Organism: Cercocebus atys (sooty mangabey)
Lineage: Eukaryota; Metazoa; Chordata; Mammalia; Primates; Cercopithecidae
Gene: U1
Rfam family: U1 spliceosomal RNA
About the family: U1 is a small nuclear RNA (snRNA) component of the spliceosome (involved in pre-mRNA splicing). Its 5' end forms complementary base pairs with the 5' splice junction, thus defining the 5' donor site of an intron.
Source: Ensembl
AAAAAUCUUGACAGAGGAGCUAUUGUGAUCAAGAAGGUGGUUCUCUCAGUCAAAGUUUGUCCAUUGUACUCCAGAUGUGCUGACCCCUGCAAUUUCCCCACAAGUGGGAAACCAGACUGCAUAAUUUGUGGUGGUGGGGGUCUGUGAUCCCACAUUCUCCUG